AAAGCAGUGGUCAGUACUACUGUGAGGUUCAGAAUGAACACGGAUCUAAAAUAUCAGAAACAGUGCUGCUUAGUUUCAAAGGUAUGAUUGAUUGACCGCUCCUAUUUGAUACAACAUUUGUGUCAUAAUAUUAAUGUUAAAAGUAGGAACAGUAAAGAUUGUUUCUUACACAGAGAAUCCAAGUGUUACUCCGUAUGUGAUUGGUGGAGUCGUGGUUGGCGGUGUUGGCUUGACCCUCCUUCUUGUCAUUUUGUUUAUAAGGUGAGUACAUGUACUGUACUAGAGAGCACUGUACCUCAUAUAUACUUUAGUAGAGGUUGUUCUCAUUAUAAGUAUAUUAUAAUUAACUUUUGAUUGAUAGAUAGUAGACAAGAAGCUUUAGUAUAAUUACUUUUCUAAUGUUGCUGUUACUGAUUUUUUUCAGGAGAAAGAGAAGAGGUCCUGUAACUGAAGACCCCAAAACAAAACAGGUAAGUCUCAGAGGCUUCAGCACAUUACUGCAUUCCUCAUUAGCAUUAUACACACUGAUCAGCAAUAACAAUAAAACACUGAAUAUCACUGAUUAUCUGGUUAUACACUAACAUACCUUAUGUCACAGGUUAUAGGACUAAUACUGCAUCCAUUAGAAGUUAAUGAAUGCUGUAUUGACCUGUGGGACAUGUGUGGGGUCCCCUAUAUUAAAUGUGGAUGUGUUUUUUUUCACUCGUCAGUACCACCCACUGUACUGUCCCCUGUAUUAUUUUUUCAAACCUCAGGAAAACAUCUACAGCAGUGUAGAAGCUGGAGCCACAUCAAAUGACCCACCAGCAGAUGCAGCCAAUCAAGAUGAUGGUCUUUAUGCUAGAGUAGAACUCCUCAGACCACAGAAACCCAGAACCGAAGAGUGCUCUGCAGUUUCCCAUGAGGAGGUUCAGUACAGUACCAUCCAGCACCACCAUGUUCAAGAGGCAAAGAAGACUGGAGAAGAAGAUGAUGUUCAGUACGCUAGUGUCAGCUUUUCCUGUACUACUCCGGAUUACAGAUGUUUCCACAUUUAAACAGUAUUAUAAAUGCUUAAACAGUGCCUACUACUGGUGACCUUUGGAACUGUUCAUGUUAGCAGACUUGGGAGGUAGUAGAGCAGCAAUUAGCAAUUAAGAUUAGUAAAAAAUGAUUAUUAAAUGUGUCUAAGAGGUUGUUGGAUUUUUUAAAUGCCUUUUAAUCUAAAUUCUUUUAUAUAUUUUAUGUGUACUGUGUGGAGUAAAAGACAAUUUACAUAGCUGUGGCUCUAGUUCAUUAGCAGAACGGGGGAUUUUGAUCGUACAUCUGAUCAUUAUAAAAAUAUAAUAAAAUAUAUCAAAUAUACUUUUAAUACUUAAUU
RNAcentral lists this long non-coding RNA (1360 nucleotides) under Astyanax mexicanus (Mexican tetra). Its description in RNAcentral is "lncRNA (ENSAMXG00005008890.1)". The record is from RNAcentral. Lineage: Eukaryota; Metazoa; Chordata; Actinopteri; Characiformes; Acestrorhamphidae.